UUACUAUAGCCAUUAGACCCUGGGCUAUAUCUUACUAUUUAAUGAAUUAAUAAAGGAGUACAUGUAUUAUUACACCGCAACUUAAAAAUGAUGUUAUAUGUGCAUUUUAGAAUUCAUCUUUUGUGAUCUCUAUAUUUAAUUAUAUGAUUUAAACACAGUAUCCUGAGAACGGGUCCAUAGUCUUCACCUUGACUGCCAAAGGGGUCAUAAAAGGUCAGAACUUAUGCACCAGAGGAAGGUGAUUGUGAGGAGGUUACUGCAGCCUAAAGCAGGAGUGGGAAGGAAGGAGUUGCAUAAAUGACUGAUAGAUCCCAAAGGCACUUCCUGUUUCAAGGUCCUUAUGUACAUCAAUUGUAUCAUACUCCAGUUCCAGAAUUUAUACCAACUGUGACAUUCUAGGACAUGGUGCUUUUACCUAAAAAUUUCAAGUUUUCUGUCAUUUGUUUUUACAUAAAAUCACAUAGAAUGUGCAAAUAAAAAACCCAUUUACUUGGGCGUUCUGGUUA
This is a long non-coding RNA of Myotis lucifugus (little brown bat), 506 nucleotides long. RefSeq lists it as uncharacterized. The record is from RefSeq and is a predicted model, not a curated record. The transcript is spliced from 2 exons. Lineage: Eukaryota; Metazoa; Chordata; Mammalia; Chiroptera; Vespertilionidae.